AGAUGCUCUGGACAUCCGGAAGUUCUCCAUCCAUUCAUUGUCCACGACCAUGCCAUUGAGAAAGUUGUCCCACCAGCGGCUGGUUCUCCCAGGUCUUACCCAAAACUUUCUUCUGGUUGCCCUUCUGGUUUCUCUCUGCGGUUCACUUAAAAACAGCAUGCGGUGGUUCACCCUUGUUUGCUCCUCUACAACGAAGGUAUUGGGUGUUCCUGUAAAGGAUCUACACUUUGCUUUGUGCUCUGUAUCAAAGGCUCUGUAGUAAAUGUGAAUGUGGCAGUGUAAGGGGUGUUCAGUAGCAGUUGCAAGUAGGUCCGAGCUACUUAACCAUUACAAACUCAAACAUCCACAUUUUGGACGUACUGUCCGCUAUCCAUGUACAUAUUGGAAAUGUCCAUGCUCAUUCAAGACAUGGAAUGCUUUAAUCGUUCAUCAAAGAGUGCAUUCCACACACGUUUGUCACACUCAAAAAGAGCUGUAUACUUUCAGCUGUCACUUAUGUACAUGUAAACAUUUAUCAAAUGAAAGGGAGUUCUUUGUUCAUAUCAACACCCAUCUGAGGAAAAAUGAAAACGUUUGUUGGCUGUAGUUUUCAAACUAGCAUUUAUGGAACCUUUAAGUCUCAUAAGAGCCGCCAACACACACCUCACACACUAACUAAACAACAACAUUACCACCUCCAUCAGUACAGGAUUCAAUUGCUGAUUGCCAGGAUGAUGAGUCUGUAGACGAGGAAGUUUCUGGGACAUCCCUAGAUCCAGGUCAACAGCAGGACUUCCUUCAUCCAAGCCAUGGAGGAGGCCUGUGACCAGAUGGAGGUAGCAGCAAUGCAAGGAUGGAUUCGUCAUUCAAGACGUUUCUUUCCAAGGCGCAGGGAGGCGACCCUUUUGUCACUCCAAUGUAGCAGCACUCAGCCGGGGACUUAUGAGUGCGCCUCACACCAUGGGCCACUCCAGAGUAGAAUAGUGUCCAUCCCCUAUCCAGGAGUGUGGUUCCAGAGCCGAGGCUGUGCGUAGAGGUAAGCCCCACCAGAUCCAACUGAUAACGCUCCACCUCCCGCACAAGCUCCGGCUCCUUCCCCCCCCACAGAGGUUAGGUUCCACGUCCACAGAGCCAGCCUCUGCCUCCCAGGUCUGUUCCGUCUAGACCCCCCACGGUCACUGCCACCCUUGUAGCAGCGUGGGUUUCCCCCACAGGUGGUGAGCCCAUGGGGAGUAGAGUCUUGGGUUGCUGCGUCACUCCUUCAGGCUGUCCCCGGCCGGGCUCCGCGGCAAGCCCGGCCACCAGACGCUCGCUGUCGGGCCCUCCAUCUGGGCCUGGCUCCAAAUGGGGGCCCUGGGCUUCCUCCGGGCCGGGUAACUCCUUCCCUCUUCAGUUUUUUUUAAUAGGGUCAUGAAUAAUAACGGAGUAUAUUUUUAGAUGCCACGUAGAUGCUCUUAUUGCCAGUCUCAGGCGGUUAAGAGGGUGUGGGAUGGUUGUGAGCGAAUGACGCCUGAAAAUCCUCACCUUGUUUCUAUAGGUAUGUAGCCAUCUCCUUUCCUUUAUUGCCGUCCUGUGUACAUUAUUUUGUGUGUUCAACUGGAUGAUAUUUUGUCAUUUUUAUUUUACUUUCAUUGACAGCUCCUGAAAUAGGACGUCGUCAUGCAGUGAAGCCAUGGCCAAUUUCCACCUUCACUGGAAAGCAAAAAAAGUAUAAGUUUUCCUUAUGGUUGAAAUGCACUAAAUGACACGUAAUGUUUGUUAGUUUGUACUGCUUGUAGGAGCCUCCCAUCUGCGAAGCAUUGUCGAUGGUUUUGUGGUGACUCCAGCAGAUCUUUCCAUUGGCAUCAUGUCUACUCUGGGGGCCUGUGCAAAGCACUUACGGACUGAGGUGCUGAAUGCUGUUGUGCCCGGUCAUCCAGAUGUUGUUGUCCUUUUGGGGCCAGGAAAUGACUUGACCUGGGGUAAUACAUCUUCAGAUGUUGUGUAAUUUGUUAGCUUGAGUUAGGAAUUGAGAAAAUUGAUUUACUGAACAUCUAUAUAUUUUUUUGGUGGUAGUGGUGGAUUUUCCUCAGAUACCAAGGUUUGUCCUCACAUGAGCUUUGGUGCAGAGACAAUUUGAGUUAAAUAUGCAGAUGUGUAGAAGUGUGAUUUACACAAAUAGUUAGAUUGUAGCUAUCCAGAUCCAUAUUGAUUGACACCAUACGUGUAGAGGCUAGUGAAUUGGCUGUAACAUCUAAAGAAUUGGGUGUGUUUCUGAAACAGAACGCUGUGUUUGACAUAAGCGGGGGCAGUUGAUUUGGGCAAGCCAGAGAGGUACAGCUUGCAGGGGUUGACCAAUGAGUCUGUGGUAAAGGAAAAGAUGAAAUGUUCGAUAGAGAUGGAAUGCGUUAUUGUGCCUUAAUGGAGCAGUCAGUCACACGAAAAGUACUUUGUGGUUGUAGAUUUUGCCGUACGUAAUGACUCUGGGCUGUCAUGUGAAUUUGGCCGGUCUGUGGCACACCAUGUCAGGCAGCUGUGAUGGUGACAGCAGUGGUGACAUGAAUGUUGCAAUUGAUUUUCAGGCAAGCAGUUCUGUCGACAACAGCAUGAAUGUUUCAACUGAUGUUGAAGGAAGCAGUUCUGUCAGGGACGAUAGGAGUAUAAGGAGAUCCUUUCACCAGGGUGAUGACAGGUUUGAGUUUGGAGGAGUUCAGUGCAUGGCCACAGCACUGUUUCGUAUGGCAAAACAGUCAAGAGAGUGUUUUGUCAUUUAGGUGUCAGUUGUACAAAGAUUUGCGAAAAGAAAUCUUCAGCAGCAGGUCUGGUUGGUUGUGUGUUUCUGAUUUUCCCAAGCAGAGACUUGUUGACGGACAAGAGUUUACCUUUCAUUAGGGUAGGGACUUUGUGUCAGGAGAUGUUGUUGAAGGUAUACUCAGAAUGGUAGCUACUCCGGUCUUCUGACGCUGUGUUGCAAUACAUGCGCAAUCAUUCGUGACAAUGGACAGUAUGCAGUGGUUGACUCGCAUGCACGCAAUGCUUGUGGCAUGGUUUAUGGAGAGGGAAAGUGUUCUUGUAUAUUUUUCUUCAAUGGAAGGUGUAUUCCAGGACAUUUUCCUUUUAGUCUCAAGGGUUUGGUAAUCAGCUAAAGUCUUUUGCGAUAAGUGGUGUUCGUGUCACAGACUGCCUCCGUUUGAAAAACCAACAGCUCUGUGUACCAAUCCUAUAACAUUUGGAAAUGCUUUGUCCGAAGUCUGUUCAGAACGCGUUGGGAUCAAAUGUACAAAAGCUGAACGAUAAAACAUCUCAAGCCAAUUCAGAUGUUGAAUUUAUCCAUGAAGUUGUACAAAACAACCUGAAGCAUGUCACAAGCUCUAUGCAAAGAUUUAAAAAUGAAAUAUGCAAAAACAAAGUUGAUCCUACAUGUUUUGGUUCCAUUGGGAGUUCCAUGUAAAAAAAAGUAAUUGCUUCUUUAUACAAUACUGGAUAGAAAAAUUGUGUGUCCUGCUACUUUUUUGGAAUGGACAUAAUAGGCCUUACGAUUCCUGCACUGUCAAAAAAGUUGAUGGCCAAAGCCUUUAUAAUGUUU
This is a long non-coding RNA of Gasterosteus aculeatus aculeatus (three-spined stickleback), 3544 nucleotides long. The record is from Ensembl. NCBI's taxonomy places the organism in Eukaryota, Metazoa, Chordata, Actinopteri, Perciformes, Gasterosteidae.